GAUGAACGCUAGCGAUAGGCUUAACACAUGCAAGUCGAGGGGCAGCAUGGUCUUAGCUUGCUAAGACUGAUGGCGACCGGCGCACGGGUGCGUAACGCGUAUGCAACUUGCCUCACAGAGGGGGAUAACCCGUCGAAAGACGGACUAAUACCGCGUACACUCCAUCUUGGGCAUCCAAGGUAGAGGAAAUGAAAUUCGCUGUGAGAUAGGCAUGCGUCCCAUUAGCUAGUUGGUGAGGUAACGGCUCACCAAGGCGACGAUGGGUAGGGGAACUGAGAGGUUGAACCCCCACACUGGUACUGAGACACGGACCAGACUCCUACGGGAGGCAGCAGUGAGGAAUAUUGGUCAAUGGGCGAGAGCCUGAACCAGCCAAGUCGCGUGAAGGAUGACUGUCUUAUGGAUUGUAAACUUCUUUUAGACGGGAAUAACAAGAGUCACGUGUGACUCCCUGCAUGUACCGGAUGAAUAAGCAUCGGCUAACUCCGUG
This 490-nucleotide ribosomal RNA is filed under the name uncultured bacterium. RNAcentral describes it as "partial 16S ribosomal RNA". It matches the Rfam family "Bacterial small subunit ribosomal RNA", at positions 28 to 507 of the family's 1533-position model. The record is from RNAcentral.